AAGGCCCGGAUGAGCCGCCGGGGUUCCGCCUCUGUGAACCACUCCUCCGGGUACUGUCCCAGGAGCCUCUGGAGGGAGACAGCAACAUGGACCCCUCAGCUUCAACCUCUUUCUGCUAUUCGGGGGUUUUCUGGCACCCUGGCAGUGUAUCUUUUCUCAGCAUCUUUGAAACCACAGGAAUAGAAAUCAACAGGCCUCGUCGGACCCUCAGGACCCUGCUGCCAUAGGUGUGCUGACAGCCCUGAGGAGGCAAAUCCCCAUUCCACCUGAGAGGGAUCUGUGGGAUGGACAGGAUCCAGUGCUUGGUGAGCUGUUGCUUCAAAAAUCAGCAAUUGCAAUGCUUCCUCCUGAGAAGGAGGCCAAUCUCAUUUCAUCCCUUAUCUUUGCCUGAGAGCCCGCCUUAAUUUCAAAUUUAUAGCAAUUCAGAGAGAGGAGGUUUACAUUUGCCAUUUCAGGGAAGGCUUCUGCCUUCCUUAGCAGACAUCUGUCUUUUCAAACCAAGACAGGAACUUAUAAUUAAAUUUAUAAUUAGCUGUAUAGUCAAGUAUGUUAAAAUAUAGUUCUUGCUUCACCACAAGAGGACUUUGCUUCUUUGCUACCAUAAACAAGACUUUGCGUAUUCGUUUAAAACUGAUAAGCAAGAAAAAAUUGGAUCUGUAGUUUGGACUAUGGCCAGAAGCCUUGGAAAACAACCAGCUACCCAGAGAGCAUGUGCAAAGACCAGGUUCAUCCAAAGCGCACCCGAGGAAGACUGCUUUUACCCCAUUGAUUUCAUCUGACGACCCCCGCCCAAGACCACCAGAAGACAGUACUUAAGCACAGAGCGAUAAGAAGCUGAUUACCAUACAGAGAGGAUGGGGGAAGGCCCGAAUAGGCUAUGAAUAUGUAUAGGUGAUGUUGAAAUCUUUGCAAAUAUCUAUGAGCUUAUGGAUAGAUAACAGAGUCUGUUUGGAUAAGCAUGCUUGGUGAAAAUAUUCUGUGAAAAUA
Haemorhous mexicanus (house finch) is the source of this 987-nucleotide long non-coding RNA. RefSeq lists it as uncharacterized. NCBI's taxonomy places the organism in Eukaryota, Metazoa, Chordata, Aves, Passeriformes, Fringillidae. The transcript has 2 exons. The record is from RefSeq and is a predicted model, not a curated record.